AACUAACGCUGGCGGCGUGCCUAACACAUGCAAGUCGUACGAGAAAGCCGGCUUCGGCUGGUGAGUAAAGUGGCGCACGGGUGAGUAACGCGUGGAUAAUCUGCCCUUAAGUGUGGAAUAACGUACCGAAAGGUGCGCUAAUACCGCAUAAUGCCUGGCAACACAAGUUGUCCGGCCAAAGAAGGCCUCUGUUUACAAGCUUUCGCUUCAGGAUGAGUCCGCGUACCAUUAGCUUGUUGGUGGGGUAAUGGCCUACCAAGGCUGCGAUGGUUAGCUGGUCUGAGAGGAUGAUCAGCCACACUGGAACUGAGACACGGUCCAGACUCCUACGGGAGGCAGCAGUGAGGAAUAUUGGGCAAUGGGGGAAACCCUGACCCAGCAACGCCGCGUGAGGGAAGAAGGUUUUCGGAUUGUAACCUCUGUCCUUGGUGAAGAGAAGAAGACGGUAGACCGAAGGAGGAAGCCCCGGCUAACUACGUGCCAGCAGCCGACGGUAAAAGUCACGUCGCG
This 510-nucleotide ribosomal RNA is filed under the name uncultured bacterium. RNAcentral describes it as "bacterial SSU rRNA". It matches the Rfam family "Bacterial small subunit ribosomal RNA", at positions 29 to 536 of the family's 1533-position model. The record is from RNAcentral.